Molecule: ribosomal RNA, 646 nt
Filed under: uncultured bacterium
Lineage: Bacteria
Description: bacterial SSU rRNA
Rfam family: Bacterial small subunit ribosomal RNA
Source: RNAcentral
GGGAUGGUCCCGCCCAUCAGCUAGUUGUAGGGUAACGCCUACCAAGGCGAAGACGGUAGCUGGUCUGAGAGGAUGAUCAGCCACGCUGGAACUGAGACACGGUCCAGACUCCUACGGGAGGCAGCAGUGGGGAAUCUUGCGCAAUGGACGAAAGUCUGACGCAGCGACGCCGCGUGAGUGAUGAAGGCCUUCGGGUUGUAAAGCUCUGUGGAGAGGGACGAAUAAGUGUCGUCGAAUAGACGGCAUGAUGACGGUACCUUUUUAGCAAGCACCGGCUAACUCUGUGCCAGCAGCCGCGGUAAUACAGAGGGUGCAAACGUUGUUCGGAUUUACUGGGCGUAAAGCGCGUGUAGGCUGCUUGGAAAGUCGGAUGUGAAAGCCCUGGGCUCAACCUAGGAAGUGCAUUCGAAACUUCCAAGCUCGAGUUUCGGAGAGGAAGGCGGAAUUCUCGGUGUAGAGGUGAAAUUCGUAGAUAUCGAGAGGAACACCGGUGGCGAAGGCGGCCUUCUGGACGAUAACUGACGCUGAGACGCGAAAGCGUGGGGAGCAAACAGGAUUAGAUACCCUGGUAGUCCACGCCGUAAACGAUGGGUGCUAGGUGUCGCGGGCUUUGACCCCUGCGGUGCCGUAGCUAACGCAUUAAGCA